AGAACAUCCAAUAGUCAAAGGCAUAUGCAAUACAAAUCGUAUAGCGAGAAAUAGUCCUAUAAUUCCUAUAAUAACUACAACCUAUAACUUCUUACCUGGGAAUAUUGAAGACUCAUGUUAAAAGGAACCACCAGCUUUCAUACGUUCUGAGCAAGGAACUUAAACGUUAGCUUUUUUACAUGGCACAUAUUGCACUUUUACUUUCUUCUCCAACACUUUGUUGUUUCAUUAUUUAUUUGAGGCUAGAUUGAUAGUAUUUAUGUACUAUAUUAAGUUAAAAUAUGUGUUCAUUCAGUAUUGUUGUAAUUAUCAUUUACAAAUUUAAAAAUCAGCUGAUUAAUCGUAUCGUCUUUUUUUGGUCCUCCAAUAAUCGGUAUCGGCGUUGAAAAAUCCUAAUUGGUCGACCUCUACUAAUUACCUGGCGCCAUCAGCACAGUUUAAGAAACUGAAUAUCUUGUCUAUUUACGAUGUUAAUGUAAGCCAAUUAUGCACUUUCAUCAAUACUCAUAUCUCCCAGACAGUUUACCUAAACCCUUCAAUGGAUUCUUCCAGGUUAAUUCUGAAAUCCACCUAUAUAACACAGGACACUGCGAUAACCUUCAGCCUCCCCACUGCCGCACCUCACAUAGUCAAUUCUCUAUCAGAUAAAGAGGUACUAUACUCUGGAAUUAUUAUCUUCACAUUGCCAAAACAUCAUCAUCCCUCAAUAAUUUCAAGCGAAGACUGGGGGUCUGCCUGAUGAACCAAACUACUCAGUAAUCUCCUCCAUGAAGACUGGAGGUCAGCCUGAUGAACCAAACUACUCAGUAAUCUCCUCCAUGAAGACUGGGGGUCAGCCUGAUGAACCAAACUACUCAGUAAUCUCCUCCAUGAAGACUGGGGGUCUGCCUGAUGAACCAAACUACUCAGUAAUCUCCUCCAUGAAGACUGGGGGUCAGCCUGAUGAACCAAACUACUCAGUAAUCUCCUCCAUGAAGACUGGAUGUCAGCCUGAUGAACCAAACUACUCAGUAAUCUCCUCCAUGAAGACUGGAGGUCAGCCUGAUGAACCAAACUACUCAGUAAUCUCCUCCAUGAAGACUGGAGGUCAGCCUGAUGAACCAAACUACUCAGUAAUCUCCUCCAUGAAGACUGGAGGUCAGCCUGAUGAACCAAACUACUCAGUAAUCUCCUCCAUGAAGACUGGGGGUCAGCCUGAUGAACCAAACUACUCAGUAAUCUCCUCCAUGAAGACUGGGGGUCAGCCUGAUGAACCAAACUACUCAGUAAUCUCCUCCAUGAAGACUGGGGGUCAGCCUGAUGAACCAAACUACUCAGUAAUCUCCUCCAUAUAGCCUAACUCACACACAUGCACACUCAUUUAAACAAAACAAGUAUUUAUUUUUGGGUGAUUACUGAUCAGUUCAUUUAUACAUGUAUAAUUAGUAUGUUUUGUUAUCUGUUUUAUUUUGGACUUGUGUAUUGUGUACAGUUUUUAUUGUGGUUUUUAUAUAAUUCUUUGGGCUUCUAACCACACCUGCAAACUGUUUUUUAAAUGUUUUUAUCUGUAUUGUUGUCUACCACUUGUUUUGUUGGGUGCGAGUAAAUAAAACUAGACAGACAGACAGAUAGAGGGGGGAGUAGGGUGUCUGUUAGAUCUGGAACUCUGUCCUUAUCUUUAAAAAGACUCAAAUGGUUUCCCCACAAACCAUCACAAUCAUCAUGCAUGUGUUUCAGAGCAUCUCUGCUUUUCAGUGUUGUUGUAUGCAUUCAGCUGUUUCCUUUGGUGAUGAGUGGUGACCUCAGGAAUAAAGAUUGUCCUCUGUCUGUCUCUCUCUCUCUCUCUCUCUCUCUGUAUGUGUGUCUUUCUCUGUGUCUCUCUUUCCCUCUCUCUCUCUCAGGUCUGGAGCUGAACGGGAUGGGGGUUGAUAAAGGGGAGACUCCUCCUCCCCUGCCCGUGAAGGGCAUCUCUGCUGAUUAUGGGAACCUGCUAGGAGAUAAUCAAGACUUGACGAGUCCCUCCACCCCUCCCCUGACACACCAUCAAAGGCAUCUGCCACCACCUCUUCCCAGCAAGACCCCUCCUCCCCCUCCUCCUAAGACCACCAGGAAACAAGCCUCCAUCGAUUCAGGAAUUGUACAAUGAACAAUGACAUUAAGACACCCGAUAUAAAAAAACAAGGUUCUUUCCCCUCUGUAAUCUCUUCCCCCCAUGCGUUCCAAAAUGGCGGCCUAUUUCCAAUAGUGCACUACUUUGGACUACUUUUGACCAUAGGGCUCUGGUCAAACGUAGGGCCACUAUAUAGUGAAGAGUGUGCCAUUUGGGGAAACAGCAACAGUCUGACCAGGAGUGAAAGAAGAGUAUCUCACUCAGGUAACACUCCUUAUUGAGCCACUCAUUUUGGCUGUGUCCCAAACGGCACCCUAUUCCCAAUAUAGUGCACUACUUUUGACCACGGCCCCGAUAAGGCUCUGGUAAAUAGUAGUUCACUACGUAGGGAAUAGGGUGCCAUUUGGGGCAGAGCCUCAUUGGAUUCUUUCAUUUUUGCCUCAAGUGUGAUGAUGCGGUCUACUUUACCGUAGGUAGAUAGGUGAAUCAGUUUCACAUGAUUACUGGUCACUGAAUUUAUUGAUGCUAUCUAUCAUCUAUGACUCUAUUCUCCACUUGAUACCACUUAGUUCAGGCCUUUGUAAUGCUAUGAGGUCGUGUUCCACCUAUAGAAUUAGAAUGAGUGAAAUGAAUAUAGAAUCAGAACCAGGUGAAUGAAGCGUUCUCUGGUUCUGUCUUUUACACUUUGACCAAUAGACAGGCUGGUGAGUGACGACCAACGUUCUGACCCUUCCCACCUGCUCUUAGAAACCGGG
RNAcentral lists this long non-coding RNA (2844 nucleotides) under Salmo salar (Atlantic salmon). RNAcentral's name for it is "lncRNA (ENSSSAG00000118425.1)". Lineage: Eukaryota; Metazoa; Chordata; Actinopteri; Salmoniformes; Salmonidae. The record is from RNAcentral.